This 253-nucleotide ribosomal RNA is filed under the name uncultured bacterium. RNAcentral describes it as "partial 16S ribosomal RNA". It matches the Rfam family "Bacterial small subunit ribosomal RNA", at positions 524 to 776 of the family's 1533-position model. The record is from RNAcentral.
GACGAACCGUACGAACGUUAUUCGGAUUCACUGGGCUUAAAGGGUGCGUAGGCGGCCAUGUAAGUAGGGUGUGAAAUCCCCCGGCUUAACCGGGGAACUGCGCCCUAAACUGUGUGGCUUGAGUGAGAUAGGGGUGUGUGGAACUUCCGGUGGAGCGGUGAAAUGUGUUGAUAUCGGAAGGAACGCCGGUGGCGAAAGCGACACACUGGGUCUCAACUGACGCUGAGGCACGAAAGCCAGGGGAGCGAACGGG